UCGCUAUAACGGAGUGAAUGAUUUAGUGAGGCAUUUGGACUGGAACCGAUGAGCCUUAACGGCCCCGUUGGAUUUGGAAAGAAUGCCGAACUUGAUCAUUUCGACGAUAUAAAAGUCGUAACAAGGUUUCCGUAGGUGAACCUGC
Molecule: ribosomal RNA, 145 nt
Filed under: uncultured eukaryote
Lineage: Eukaryota
Description: partial small subunit ribosomal RNA
Rfam family: Eukaryotic small subunit ribosomal RNA
Source: RNAcentral